This is a small nucleolar RNA of Cornus florida, 85 nucleotides long. RefSeq annotates it as small nucleolar RNA R160. The transcript has a single exon. Lineage: Eukaryota; Viridiplantae; Streptophyta; Magnoliopsida; Cornales; Cornaceae. The record is from RefSeq and is a predicted model, not a curated record.
AGCAAAUUAAAUGAUGAAAUUUCUAAAUCUGAAUUCCAAUGUGUGGAAUCUGCAUUGCAGUAGCCUUCAAAGUUCUCUCAUUGCU